This 75-nucleotide transfer RNA is filed under the name Bacilli bacterium. RNAcentral's name for it is "tRNA-Ile". It matches the Rfam family "tRNA". Rfam says of the family: Transfer RNA (tRNA) molecules are approximately 80 nucleotides in length. RNAcentral also lists the same sequence under 2 other names. Lineage: Bacteria; Bacillati; Bacillota; Bacilli. The record is from RNAcentral.
GGACCCAUAGCUCAAAGGAAGAGCCCUCCGCUCAUAACGGAGUUGUUGUAGUGUCGGGAUCUACUGGGUCCACCA